RNAcentral lists this ribosomal RNA (1231 nucleotides) under metagenome. RNAcentral describes it as "SSU rRNA". It matches the Rfam family "Eukaryotic small subunit ribosomal RNA", at positions 3 to 1239 of the family's 1831-position model. The record is from RNAcentral.
CCUGGUUGAUCCUGCCAGUGGUCAUAUGCUUGUCUCAAAGAUUAAGCCAUGCAUGUUUAAGCAGAAGCCGCACAAUGGUAAAGCCGCGAAUCGCUCAUUACAACAGCCGUCGUUUCUUGGAUCUCUAAUUUUACUUGGAUAACUGUGGUAAUUCUAGAGCUAAUACACGCACUAAAGCUCUGACCUUACGGGACGAGCGCAUUUAUUAGAACAAAACCAAUCGGGUUUCGGCCCGUGCGUUGGUGACUCUGAAUAACUCUGCCGAUCGCAUGGUCUCGCACCGGCGACGUAUCUUUCAAGUGUCUGCCUUAUCAACUUUCGAUGGUAGUUUAUGUGCCUACCAUGGUUGUAACGGGUAACGGAGAAUAAGGGUUCGACUCCGGAGAGGGAGCCUGAGAAACGGCUACCACAUCCAAGGAAGGCAGCAGGCGCGCAAAUUACCCACUCUCGGCACGAGGAGGUAGUGACGAAAAAUAACGAGAUGGAUCUCUUUGAGGCCCAUUAUCGGAAUGAGAACAAUUCAAAUCCUUUAACGAGGAUCUAGCGGAGGGCAAGUCUGGUGCCAGCAGCCGCGGUAAUUCCAGCUCCGCAGGUGUAUAUCUAUGCUGCUGCGGUUAAAAAGCUCGUAGUUGGAUCUGCGUGCUCGGAACUGGUUGGCUCACUGAGUUCAAACUGGUCUCCGGCGCUUUAUUUGCUGGUUUUCCCUUGAUGCUCUUAACCGGGUGUCUCGGGUGGCUAGCGUGUUUACUUUGAAAAAAUUAGAGUGCUCAAUACAGGCGCAAAGCCUUGAAUAGUGGUGCAUGGAAUAAUAGAAUAGGACCUCGGCUCUAUUUUGUUGGUUUUCGGAACACGAGGUAAUGAUUAAGAGGGACAGACGGGGGCAUUCGUAUUGCGACGUUAGAGGUGAAAUUCUUGGAUCGUCGCAAGACGGACGACUGCGAAAGCAUUUGCCAAGAGUGUUUUCAUUAAUCAAGAACGAAAGUUAGAGGUUCGAAGGCGAUCAGAUACCGCCCUAGUCCUAACCGUAAACGAUGCCAACUAGCGAUUCGCAGGCGUUAAACAACGACCUUGCGGGCAGCUUCCCGGAAACGAAAGUGUUCCGGUUCCGGGGGAAGUAUGGUUGCAAAGCUGAAACUUGAAGGAAUUGACGGAAGGGCACCACCAGGAGUGGAGCCUGCGGCUUAAUUUGACCCAACACGGGAAAACUCACCCGUCCCGGACACCGUAAGGA